GAUGAACGCUGGCGGCGUGCCUAAUACAUGCAAGUCGAACGAGAACUAUUGUAGCAAUACGAUAGUUCUAGUGGCGAACGGGUGAGUAACGCGUUGGUGAUCUGCCCCGAAGUGGAGGAUAACAGUCCGAAAGGACUGCUAAUACUCCAUGUGGCUGCAAGAGUUAGAGGUCUUGCUACCAAAGAAGCAAUUCGCUUCGGGAGGAGCCUGCGUCCCAUCAGCUAGUUGGUAAGGUAAUGGCUUACCAAGGCUAAGACGGGUAGGGGACCUGAGAGGGU
This 278-nucleotide ribosomal RNA is filed under the name uncultured bacterium. Its description in RNAcentral is "partial 16S ribosomal RNA". It matches the Rfam family "Bacterial small subunit ribosomal RNA", at positions 28 to 301 of the family's 1533-position model. The record is from RNAcentral.